ACAUGCCCACGGUGGCACGGAGUCCUUCUGAAGCUGAGUGUGCUGAGCCACGUGGUGCUGCUGGCGCUGCUGGCGGUGCUCAGUGUGCAGGGUGAGUAAAAACCACUCGUAAACACAUCCAAAACCCAAGCGACCAUGAGGGAUUUUUUUAUUUUAUUUCUUUUUCGCCAAGGGGUGUUCAGGUUUUUAUCCUAGUGACCAUCUCCAUUUGGAUGGGGACAAUUUUACCCCACAAGAUGAAUCCAACAAGAGUAAAUCCCCUCUCAAAACAAACAAAGAAACACAAAAACACACAAAAAAAAUGCUUUUAAAGCAAGGGUGGAGGACACAAGAAACAUUUUUAUGCUGUUGCAAAAGUUGGGUAUAGUCAUGACCAGAAACGGUGCUUGCAAAAUAGCCUGGAGAACCCAACUCAGCCCUGCUCGGUUUUCACGACGUUGCCCUAAAACAGCCUCAGUCUCACCCCAAAAUUUUACCUCCAAGUUUUUCAGAAGAUGCCGACACCUCCCAACACUCUGCAAAACAAGAGCGAGGCUGGGGGAAGGAGCAGGACGGAGGUGUGCAUGAUUCCCUCCCUGCUGCACUACUUCUGCCGCUGGAAUGGCUCCACAGGUAACCCCUUCCCCAGGGGGGGCCCUGGGGUGGGAUGGGUGUCCCCGGGGGGCUGCAAGCCCAGCUCGGUGUCGAUGAGCAUGGCAAGGAAGAGCUCGUUUUGCUGAUCAUCUCCAUCUUCUGUGGGCCUCUGGGAGGAGGAGGCACCUCUCCACCUUCCCCGUGCUCACCCCACCGUGUGCUCCUUGUGGUGGAUGGGUGGGGAAAGCAGCCAGGAAAAAUUUGGGGGGGGAGAGAGCUCCCUCCCCAGUGCCUCUUGGCUGGUUUGAGCACGACAUCGAGCACUUUUUGGGGUGUCUCACGGCUCCGUCUCCUCUCCAGGCCACGGGGGCUGCAAGCUGUGCCCCCAGUCUUGGCAGCUUUUUGGGGACCAGUGCUACCAGGUUUCCAAAUCGAGUGGGACUUGGAUGGAAGGCAAAAAAGACUGCGAAAGUCGAGGGUCCCAUCUGGCCCUGUUCCGAAACACCACCGAUAUGGAGCACUUAAAUGAGGGGAUCCAGCAGGACAUCAAGGAGAAGCUAGCGGUGUGGAUUGGAUUAAAGGCGUCCAACAACAUAUGGAAAUGGGUGGACAACUCCUCCUUCGAUGCCACCAUGUGAGUACAGCUGCAACCCGUGGUGUGCGGAGCAGCUUUGCUCCACUUCUGCCCCAAUA
Molecule: long non-coding RNA, 1266 nt
Filed under: Anas platyrhynchos platyrhynchos (common mallard)
Lineage: Eukaryota; Metazoa; Chordata; Aves; Anseriformes; Anatidae
Description: lncRNA (ENSAPLG00000024520.1)
Source: RNAcentral